GAUGAAGAACGUAGCGAAAUGCGAUAAGUAAUGUGAAUUGCAGAAUUCAGUGAAUCAUUGAAUCUUUGAACGCACAUUGCGCCCGCCAGUAUUCUGGCGGGCAUGCCUGUUCGAGCGUCAUUACAACCCUCAGGCCCCCGGGCCUGGCGUUGGGGAUCGGCGGAGCCCCCCGUGGGCACACGCCGUCCCCCAAAUGCAGUGGCGGUCCCGCCGCAGCUUCCAUCGCGUAGUAGCUAACACCUCGCGACUGGAGAGCGGCGCGGCCACGCCGUAAAACACCCAACUCUUCUGAAGUUGACCUCGAAUCAGGUAGGAAUACCCGCUGAACUUAAGCAUAUCAAUAAGCGGAGGA
This 352-nucleotide unclassified non-coding RNA is filed under the name soil metagenome. RNAcentral's name for it is "partial contains 5.8S ribosomal RNA, internal transcribed spacer 2, and large subunit ribosomal RNA". The stretch from base 1 to 120 matches the Rfam family "5.8S ribosomal RNA", at positions 35 to 154 of the family's 154-position model. The record is from RNAcentral.